CCUACGUGAGGCAGCAGUGGGGAAUAUUGCACAAUGGGGGAAACCCUGAUGCAGCGACGCCGCGUGAGUGAAGAAGUAAUUCGUUAUGUAAAGCUCUAUCAGCAGGGAAGAAAAUGACGGUACCUGAGUAAGAAGCCCCGGCUAACUACGUGCCAGCAGCCGCGGUAAUACGUAGGGGGCAAGCGUUAUCCGGAUUUACUGGGUGUAAAGGGAGCGUAGACGGCAGUGCAAGUCUGGAGUGAAAGGCGGGGGCUCAACCCCCGGACUGCUCUGGAAACUGUACGGCUGGAGUGCAGGAGAGGUAAGUGGAAUUCCUAGUGUAGCGGUGAAAUGCGUAGAUAUUAGGAGGAACACCAGUGGCGAAGGCGGCUUACUGGACUGUAACUGACGUUGAGGCUCGGAAGCGUGGGGAGCAAACAGGAUUAGAUACCCCAGUAGUC
This 440-nucleotide ribosomal RNA is filed under the name uncultured bacterium. Its description in RNAcentral is "partial 16S ribosomal RNA". It matches the Rfam family "Bacterial small subunit ribosomal RNA", at positions 338 to 795 of the family's 1533-position model. The record is from RNAcentral.